UACGUAAGGGGCAAGCGUUAUCCGAAAUUACUGGGCGUAAAGCGUCCGCAGCCGGAAUAGUAAGUCUAGUGUAAAAUCCUCUGGCUCAACCAGAGAAUCGUACUGGAUACUGCUAAUCUAGAGUUACAUAGAGGUGCGUGGAAUUCAUCGUGUAGGGGUAAAAUCCGUUGAUAUGAUGAGGAACACCAAAAGCGAAGGCAGCGCACUGGAUGUAUACUGACGGUCAGGGACGAAAGCGUGGGGAGCAAAAAGG
Molecule: ribosomal RNA, 253 nt
Filed under: uncultured bacterium
Lineage: Bacteria
Description: partial 16S ribosomal RNA
Rfam family: Bacterial small subunit ribosomal RNA
Source: RNAcentral